Molecule: non-coding RNA, 21 nt
Filed under: Caenorhabditis elegans
Lineage: Eukaryota; Metazoa; Nematoda; Chromadorea; Rhabditida; Rhabditidae
Source: RNAcentral
UCUGAGCACCAGAAUUGCAAA